Molecule: ribosomal RNA, 468 nt
Filed under: uncultured bacterium
Lineage: Bacteria
Description: partial 16S ribosomal RNA
Rfam family: Bacterial small subunit ribosomal RNA
Source: RNAcentral
GACGAACGCUGGCGGCGUGCUUAACACAUGCAAGUCGAACGGAAAGGCCCUGCUUUUGUGGGGUGCUCGAGUGGCGAACGGGUGAGUAACACGUGAGUAACCUGCCCUUGACUUUGGGAUAACUUCAGGAAACUGGGGCUAAUACCGGAUAGGAGCUCCUGCUGCAUGGUGGGGGUUGGAAAGUUUCGGCGGUUGGGGAAGGACUCGCGGCUUAUCAGCUUGUUGGUGGGGUAGUGGCUUACCAAGGCUUUGACGGGUAGCCGGCCUGAGAGGGUGACCGGCCACAUUGGGACUGAGAUACGGCCCAGACUCCUACGGGAGGCAGCAGUGGGGAAUAUUGGACAAUGGGCGGAAGCCUGAUGCAGCAACGCCGCGUGCGGGAUGACGGCCUUCGGGUUGUAAACCGCUUUCGCCUGUGACGAAGCGUGAGUGACGGUAAUGGGUAAAGAAGCACCGGCUAACUACGAG